Molecule: unclassified non-coding RNA, 311 nt
Filed under: Hevea brasiliensis (rubber tree)
Lineage: Eukaryota; Viridiplantae; Streptophyta; Magnoliopsida; Malpighiales; Euphorbiaceae
Source: RNAcentral
GCAAGAACAGUGAAUACAACAAAUCGCAAGCAGAAAAAAGGAGAGAAAAAAGGGCAAAGAAAUUCAGGGGAAAGAUGAAAAGGGUAUAAGGACCUUAAAAGCCAACAGAAGUAGAGAAGUUUUUCGAAAUCAAGAACAAAGAAACCAAAAUUAUGGUGAAUUUUGAGACAGAAGAGUGAAAGAGUAGUGGAGAGUGAACGGUAAUAGACGGAGAGCAAAGGGAAAGCUGUGUGUAUAAGAUUUGAUUGAGUGAGGAUUGCCAAGGCGAAAGAGUGGACUGCUCGCCCAGUCGUUGGAAAAAAUGAAAGGAA